This is a long non-coding RNA of Tigriopus californicus, 1155 nucleotides long. RefSeq lists it as uncharacterized. The record is from RefSeq and is a predicted model, not a curated record. The transcript is spliced from 2 exons. NCBI's taxonomy places the organism in Eukaryota, Metazoa, Arthropoda, Copepoda, Harpacticoida, Harpacticidae.
ACUGGCAAACCUUUUUUCCAGCCCACAGUCCCUAUUUCUAGAGUUGUGGAAGUGCGUCGUCGUCGUUAGAUCGGUCAAUUGUCCCUAAAGAGAAAGGAAAAUGAGUGAGGGUGGUAUGGAUACUGUCCGUUUACCUGCACACUAUCAUGACAUGUCGGACGACGAGGCCUCCCAAAAUGAUAGCAUCACCGUCCUUGACCAUGACGCCAUGGACGAUGUAGGCCGCGAGGUCGAGGUGGUUGACCUGACCUCCACACCUGCGGGUCCCAAAGUCUCUCGCAAAACAGUGUUCAGAAACGGCACCGAAAUUGAAACCACCCCUACCCUCUUCAGACCCAGUGGGCUAGGGCCAUUGAAACUGACACGGGACGUUGGGACCAUGACCCCACCGAUUGAAAACUCGACAAGUUCUAAGACUGGAUCUUUAAAAUGUGGCGUAUGUCUGGAAUCAUUUGAGAAACUCACUCGGGAACUAAGCAGACACCUCUCAUCCUUGAGUUGCGGUCACGUAUUUUGCGAACCUUGCAUUGCAUCGCAAAGGAGGGUUACCAAUCGUAGGUUAUGUCCCACUUGCCGACGAUCCUCUCACUCUGAGCAAAGGCUGUUCUUCUAGGGAUUCCAGUCUUGAUUUGGUAUGAAUUGACCCCGACCCUUGCGGACCCUGAUGGCUGGCUAAGGACGAUUCCUUUCAUUAUUGACCCUUGCCAAUUGGCUAAAACUCAUUUGUGAUACUCCAGUUGCCUUUCGUUCGACUUGUCUGCUAUGGUUUUAUUGGAGUGGCACCUUCCCUUUAGACAUCCCAAUUAUUGUUCCUGUCAACCGACAAGAUAAAUAUAUUAUUGUCUCAAAGGACCCCGAAAAGUUUGUACUUAUCGGAGGAGGACCCUUUCGCUCGGAUUCUACGUAACUUGUACGUACUGGCACAUAACUUGAAUUCCGAAUCCGCACAACCCCAUGCAGGCUCGUCAUCAUCAACAUCAUCAUCUACUUUGGCUGCCUUUUUAAGGUUUGACAAGUGGAGGCUCCCGGAGUUUUGCACAUAAAAGCAUUUCGUCAAAAGUUCCAAUUUUGCCCGCUAAUUACUCCCCUCAACCUGACAGCCAUCUCGGAAAACUACAAUCAACUUUUCCCAAAUAGAGCGUGUUUCUGAUUUUU